CUCGGAAAAAGGAAAAAUUACCGAAAGGUAAUGGCUCAAAGCUACAGGGCCUAAAGCCGGCCGACCGGCUAUGGCAGCCAGCUGCCCAU
This 89-nucleotide non-coding RNA is filed under the name Clostridiales bacterium PH28_bin88. Its description in RNAcentral is "c-di-GMP-I riboswitch aptamer". It matches the Rfam family "c-di-GMP-I riboswitch aptamer". Rfam says of the family: GEMM was predicted in a large-scale screen for bacterial structured RNA regulatory elements. Genes associated with GEMM are involved in a diverse array of functions, including chemotaxis regulation, signal transduction, secretion and chitin. RNAcentral also lists the same sequence under 1 other name. The record is from Rfam by way of RNAcentral. Lineage: Bacteria; Bacillati; Bacillota; Clostridia; Eubacteriales.